This is a non-coding RNA of Sander lucioperca (pikeperch), 648 nucleotides long. The record is from the annotation of a RefSeq genome assembly. Lineage: Eukaryota; Metazoa; Chordata; Actinopteri; Perciformes; Percidae.
AUCAGUGGCAGCAGUGAGGAGGAAACAGCGUGACAUGUUGAGGACAGCUACAGUUCACUGACUCUGUGUGUUUGCAUAUGUGUCCUGCCUCUCUGCUCCCAGCCGUUAAGAGGCCAGUGUUGAUCAGUGGCUGUCCAGGCCUUUCAGAGACACUGGCACGCAGGCAGCACAAUGAUGAUGUCACUGACUCUACUGCUGACCACCCUGGGGCUCCUUGUUCAGGGUUCAUCAGGACAAACCAUCCUGACUCAGUCUCCUGGAUCUCAGUCUGUUGUUCCAGGACAGACUGUCUCCAUCAGAUGUAAAACCAGUACAGGUGUUCAUACUAGCUACCUCCACUGGUACCUUCAGAAAUCUGGAGAAGCUCCUAAACUCCUGAUUUAUGCAGCUACAACCCGUCAGUCUGGAGUUUCAGAUCGUUUUACUGGAAGUGGUUCUGGGACUGACUUCACUCUGACCAUCAGAGGAGUCGAGGCUGAAGAUUCAGGAGUUUACUACUGUCAGCAGGGUGACAGCUUCCCGUUCACACAGUGAUACAACGUCGUACAAAAACCUCCCUCAGCUGGAGAGGAACUGAUCUGACUCAACAGCUGCACUGAAACUAAAACAACAGAAGCUUGACUAAACUAACAAUUGACUUUAAACAUU